UAGGUCCUCGACCUCACCGACUCCACAGCCUCCUCAUCUCUUUUUGGCCUCUCUUUGCAGGAGAUCAAGAUAAACAAGAUGGCUGUAGGCAGAGUUUUUGUUCCUAACAAGAUGUUGGUCUCCUCUCCCAAGUUUCCAACAGGUUGUUUUCCUCUCCCAAGUUCCCAACAAACAAGAAGGCGUGCUCUCCUCUCCCAGGCCAAAAUGUGUGCUCUCUCUGAUCCUCUCCACUCCACGCCACACCAUCUCUCUCAUAUUACAAAGUACUUGGAAUUUCAAGCCAUGAAAUGAUUGCAAGAAGAAACAAAGCAAAUCAGAAGGGUGAAUAAAGGGCAAUGGAGUUAGUCCCUGGUUGGUCGGAGAUGGGCGGUGGCGGUAGGUGGCGGCAGCUAGUCGACGGUGGUUGAUCGGCGGCGGCUGUAGUGGCUAACCUGGGGCGUUGGUAAGGAGGUUGGCCGGUGGCAGGUGGUGAUGGUUGACCUGUGACGGUGGCAGCUAGCCGGAAGGAGGUUGUCCGACAGCAGGUGGUGGUGGUUGGCCUUGUGCUAAUUUUGAUUUUAAAGGAGUGGCAUUGUGUGUAAUUUUAAUUUUUUUAAUUACAUUAUUAUAAAAUUAGUACUACUUUUUUGUCUUUGGCCUUAUGCUAAUUAGGUGAAAUUGUAUUCCUAUCUUCCAAAUUAGUAAACUAUAUAGUGUCUUAAAAAUGAAAGAUCCCUUAAAUAAACUGUAUUUGACAGUUAAGCACAAUGGCACAUGUAGUAAUUUUAGGGUUGUUG
Prunus dulcis (almond) is the source of this 776-nucleotide long non-coding RNA. RefSeq lists it as uncharacterized. The record is from RefSeq and is a predicted model, not a curated record. Lineage: Eukaryota; Viridiplantae; Streptophyta; Magnoliopsida; Rosales; Rosaceae. The transcript has 3 exons.